This 266-nucleotide ribosomal RNA is filed under the name uncultured prokaryote. Its description in RNAcentral is "partial 16S ribosomal RNA". It matches the Rfam family "Bacterial small subunit ribosomal RNA", at positions 524 to 788 of the family's 1533-position model. The record is from RNAcentral.
UACGGAGGAUCCAAGCGUUAUCCGGAUUUAUUGGGUUUAAAGGGUGCGCAGGCGGAAGAUUAAGUCGGCGGUGAAAUUUUGCAGCUCAACUGUAAAAGUGCCAUCGAUACUGGUUUUCUUGAGUGUGGAUGAAGUAGGCGGAAUUUGUGGUGUAGCGGUGAAAUGCAUAGAUAUCACGAGGAACUCCGAUUGCGCAGGCAGCUUACUAGGCCAUAACUGACGCUCAGGCACGAAGGCGUGGGGAUCAAACAGGAUUAGAUACCCCU